RNAcentral lists this ribosomal RNA (380 nucleotides) under Chroococcus sp. AECC1312. Its description in RNAcentral is "bacterial SSU rRNA". It matches the Rfam family "Bacterial small subunit ribosomal RNA", at positions 376 to 770 of the family's 1533-position model. Lineage: Bacteria; Bacillati; Cyanobacteriota; Cyanophyceae; Chroococcales; Chroococcaceae. The record is from RNAcentral.
CGAAAGCCUGACGGAGCAAUACCGCGUGAGGGAGGAAGGCUUUUGGGUUGUAAACCUCUUUUAUCAGGGAAGAAAAAAAUGACGGUACCUGAAGAAAAAGCAUCGGCUAACUCCGUGCCAGCAGCCGCGGUAAGACGGAGGAUGCAAGCGUUAUCCGGAAUUAUUGGGCGUAAAGCGUCCGCAGGUGGCUGUUCAAGUCUGCAGUCAAAGACUGGAGCUUAACUCCGGGAAGGCAGUGGAAACUGAACAGCUAGAGUCCGGUAGGGGUAGAGGGAAUUCCCAGUGUAGCGGUGAAAUGCGUAAAGAUUGGGAAGAACACCAGUGGCGAAGGCGCUCUACUGGGCCGGAACUGACACUCAGGGACGAAAGCUAGGGGAGCG